GGUUCUGCUAUCACUCUUGGAUGGGACCUGCGGUGCAUUAGCUAGUUGGUAGGGGUAAACGGGCCUACCAAGGCGAUGAUGCAUAGCCGAGUUGAGAGACUGAUCGGCCACAUUGGGACUGAGACACGGCCCAAACUCCUACGGGAGGCAGCAGUAGGGAAUCUUCCACAAUGGACGCAAGUCUGAUGGAGCAACGCCGCGUGAGUGAAGAAGGGUUUCGGCUCGUAAAGCUCUGUUGUUGGUGAAGAAGGACAGGGGGUAGUAACUGACCUUUGUUUGACGGUAAUCAAUUAGAAAAGUCAUGGGCUAACUACGUGCCAGCAGCCGCGGGUAAAU
RNAcentral lists this ribosomal RNA (336 nucleotides) under uncultured Lactobacillus sp. RNAcentral's name for it is "bacterial SSU rRNA". It matches the Rfam family "Bacterial small subunit ribosomal RNA", at positions 202 to 526 of the family's 1533-position model. The record is from RNAcentral. Lineage: Bacteria; Bacillati; Bacillota; Bacilli; Lactobacillales; Lactobacillaceae.